Molecule: long non-coding RNA, 232 nt
Organism: Oxyura jamaicensis (ruddy duck)
Lineage: Eukaryota; Metazoa; Chordata; Aves; Anseriformes; Anatidae
Exons: 3
Source: RefSeq, a predicted model, not a curated record
GCUCAGAUGGGAUGGCUGUGUUCCCAGGGAAAUAAGCCUAUCUGCAUUAGCCAGCACUCGGAUCCAGGAGGCAUUGUAAAAGGAUCAGCAUCAACCUAUGAGAGUCAACAGAGAGACUUCAGUGGACUAAUUAGCCAACUGGAAGAUGCCUAUGUCCCUUACUGAUGACAGAGCAUGUGCAGCAUGAUCAGACCCUGAAAUAGUGUUGAUAUAAAGGAGUAGAACAGUUUGA